UACGUAGGGCGCAAGCGUUAUCCGGAAUUAUUGGGCGUAAAGAGCUCGUAGGCGGUUUGUCGCGUCUGCUGUGAAAACUCGGGGCUUAACUCCGGGCCUGCAGUGGGUACGGGCAGACUAGAGUGCGGUAGGGGAGACUGGAAUUCCUGGUGUAGCGGUGAAAUGCGCAGAUAUCAGGAGGAACACCGGUGGCGAAGGCGGGUCUCUGGGCCGUAACUGACGCUGAGGAGCGAAAGCGUGGGGAGCGAACAGG
RNAcentral lists this ribosomal RNA (253 nucleotides) under uncultured bacterium. Its description in RNAcentral is "partial 16S ribosomal RNA". It matches the Rfam family "Bacterial small subunit ribosomal RNA", at positions 524 to 776 of the family's 1533-position model. The record is from RNAcentral.